GAUGAACGCUGGCGGCGUGCCUAAUACAUGCAAGUCGAGCGAACAGACGAGGAGCUUGCUCCUCUGACGUUAGCGGCGGACGGGUGAGUAACACGUGGAUAACCCACCUAUAAGACUGGGAUAACUUAGGGAAACCGGAGCUAAUACCGGAUAAUAUAUUGAACCGCAUGGUUCAAUAGUGAAAGACGGUUUUGCUGUCACUUAUAGAUGGAUCCGCGCCGCAUUAGCUAGUUGGUAAGGUAACGGCUUACCAAGGCAACGAUGCGUAGCCGACCUGAGAGGGUGAUCGGCCACACUGGAACUGAGACACGGUCCAGACUCCUACGGGAGGCAGCAGUAGGGAAUCUUCCGCAAUGGGCGAAAGCCUGACGGAGCAACGCCGCGUGAGUGAUGAAGGUCUUCGGACCGUAAAACUCUGUUAUUAGGGAAGAACAAAUGUGUAAGUAACUAUGCACGUCUUGACGGUACCUAAUCAGAAAGCCACGGCUAACUACGUG
RNAcentral lists this ribosomal RNA (497 nucleotides) under uncultured bacterium. RNAcentral describes it as "partial 16S ribosomal RNA". It matches the Rfam family "Bacterial small subunit ribosomal RNA", at positions 28 to 507 of the family's 1533-position model. The record is from RNAcentral.